This is a long non-coding RNA of Vitis riparia (riverbank grape), 2465 nucleotides long. RefSeq lists it as uncharacterized. The transcript has 6 exons. NCBI's taxonomy places the organism in Eukaryota, Viridiplantae, Streptophyta, Magnoliopsida, Vitales, Vitaceae. The record is from RefSeq and is a predicted model, not a curated record.
GGUUCCUCCUCUUCUUUUUAUAAGUGUUUGUACAUUUUGGGAAAAAUCCCUCAUCCUUCAAUUGUACUUCUAAUUCAUAUAAAUAAAAGUUUGUUUUUUAUUAAAAAAAAGGGUGAGCAAACUAUCAAAAGCUGAGCUAUAUGACCAAAAGUAUUUUGUCCACAUUGAUUGAAUAGUAGCACCAUCAAGGAAGUUAUACUAAUGUGUGCUUUAUGGUUAGUGAUUGGCUGUUCCAUUGCUUGAAGUUUUAUGUGCUUAAAGGAUGCUUAUUUAGAUAAGAUAGACUCAAUAUUAUCACGUUAUAAUGUUUUAGUGUUUCACUCCUACUUGUUUAUAUCAAGUGCUUGCACUCAAUACUUGAAUUUUUUUUUAUACACAUUGAUUUCACCCUCAUGUCCCUUACUUUGAAAGUGGAGCAGAUAAAAAAGAAAAAGAUGAGUGGUAGCAAACCAAGGGGAAAUUCAAGAAGGACCCACCAUCUACUUGUGAGCUCAUGUAAGUGACUUACUCUUUAUUGAAGAUUCGAGGUUGUUGUUUGUUCAAUCAGAAAGUCACAGGUAAGUCUAAAAAGGUUUAUUUAAUGGCAAGUUAAGUAGUUAAAGGGUUGGAUUGGAUCAGUAAAUUUUUUUAGAGCCAAAUUGUAUUUUAUUUUAUGUUUUGGAAAAACAGGGUGGCUCAAGCACCAUCACCGCUCAAGCGCUCAAGUACCCGAAGCAAUCGAGUUGUGGUUAAGUGCGCUCAAACAAUCCCUCUAAAUCUGCUAGAAUAUCAUAGAUCACUUUUUUGGAAAUUAAGGAUUUGUUCUUUUUGAAAAAUUCUAGUUACCAAUCCUCUAGGUCUUAGGACCUAUAUAAAUUCUUUCUUAACUUGUUUUUGGGUUGGAUGCUUUGAAAGAAUCAACCCUAACUUGCCUUAUCAUUCCCAAACUCUCUCAAGAAUUCACCAAUCGAAUUCUGGGUUGUUGGAAGGACUUCCAUCCCUCAAAGGCUGAGGUGAAUCCAUCGGAGCAUUGGAGGUGUCGCGUUGCGAACGUGGAUCAUGAUAUAGGUUUUUCAAGUUUGUUGAAUGAUAAGCUAAAGUUCUACCUGCUGUAAAUUGGGCCUAAGUAUCCUGGUUUUAUUGGGGGUUGGAAGAGGAGCCUGGCCUAGAAGUGGGGAAGCUGCCAAAGGAGACAAUGGGGUUCUGCCUGAAACUGCAGUGUUGGAUGCUGGACGAUGAGGACUCGUUAUCUUUACUGGAGUUGGAAAAUUGUCCAACAAUGAAGGGAAUUUGUAGACUGCCAUGGCAUUUUCUUCUGCAGUGUUCAGUUCAUGAAAAACAACCGACAUUUCGUCUCCCUUGGGCAAUGGUUCAACUAAGUUGUUGGUCUCAUCAACAUUAACACAAACUUCAGAAUGAGGCUCUCCAGUCAUCGACAUUGGAUCAUAACCAUUGGAGGGAGGUGAAACAUCCUCAAAGUCCAUGCUUCCCAGUUUGGCAAAUUCAAGCUCAACCUGUGCUUCUGAUUGAUCAACAACAGAGCAAUCAGAACCCGAUUCACCGGAAAAUGCAUCCCCAGCCUUCUUGUUCAAAUCCAUAUCGAAUUCUUCACAGUCGCCUUGAUCUGCUACCUUGCCAUCAUCAUCAUCGUCAGGCUCUCCUUCACUGGUCACAUUCAUUUCAGAGUCCAUGCUCACUGGGUUUUGGCAUACAACUUCAUCAGCAAAGGCACUCAUACUCAACUCUGGUUUCUCAGAAUCAUCAACAGAAGCUUGUAGUGGAGCAAAUCACAACUUGAAUCAUCAACAGAAGCUUGUGGUGGAGCAGUAAGGUCCAGUUCCAGAUCAGAUUCCCCGUGCUGCUGCUCAUUCUCCAGUUUCAAACCCUCAUUCCAAUUUUUGGUAUUUGACAUUAUAACUGAAGAAACACCAGCAAAACUUUUCAUCAUCAGAAACCACAAAACUGUAAACAGCCAAGUACAACAGGCCCAGAAGGAAAAGAUUGAAUCUCAGCUUCUGCAUAUUGAAGAUGGAAACACAACUGUUAAUCAUCAAUCAAGAUCAAACCAUUUCAAUAUUGGUUUUGAAUUGAGAAAAAUUACUGAGUACUCGCCUGUGUUCUCCUGCUCAUCAUGAGCUUCAUCUUUUUCCUCGGAAACUUCAAGAAAAUCUGAAUUAUCGGGUUUGGCAGAAUCCCCAGUAUUCUCUUCAACUUCAGCUUUUGAAUCAUUUCCACUCAGGACAGACUUUGAAAUGACCUCUGAAUCAUCGGUUAUCUUUGAAUUAUCUUCUGAUAUUGUCUGUGAAUCAGCUCCUGCAUAGUGAUCAAUGUUAGAAGACAACGAAAUCUUAAAUCGUAGCAUGUUUAUUUAGCUCCUGAGAAAAUGUGGUUAAUGCUAGAAUUUUAUUGUCUGGCAAGCAAGAAAAUGUAAACACUGCAUUCAACUGAGGUCUAAUUCAACUGUUUUAGCUCACUUUUCCUUAGAA